CGGGAUGAGAAGAUCAGGGUCAAGGGGGAAAUGAAUGGUGUAUUUUAGUGUCAGCAGCACCCAGCUAAUGCCAACAUGACCACUCCUAAUAAAUCUUUUUUUUUAAUUCUGAGAGAUGUGGCUAGAGACUUAUGAUUUGAAUGGGGGCGGAUUUGUUGGAGCCCUGACAGCCAGCCGACACUAAAAUACACUUUAUAUACCCUGAUACUUAAUGGCUGCAUCAUUGAGUUUUAAACCUUGGGAUGAUAUCUCAUCGUUUUGCCCUAAACAAGGAACUGAGUACAUUUUCUGAUGCAGUAAUAUUUUAGCACCGGUCUUCGCUUAUAUUAUGUAAGGUUUCAUUGUACUGAUGCUGUGGACUCUCAAAGCGAUUAUUUUUUUUUGUAGCUUCCUUGUUUCUGUUUGAGAAAGGAUUUAAUGGGAUAUAUAGGAAAAAUACCAUUUUCACUCCAUUUAAAAAGAGUAGCCAUAUUUUUUUUUAAAAAAAUGACAUUUAAGUCAAAAUCAUACUGAUUGACAUGGAUGGCUCCGAAGAAACAUACAGAUAGUCCCUGACUUACAAUCACAACUAGGACUGAAAAAAUUCCUCGUUCAGCGGGACGGUUUGUUUUAAGUGAGGCAUUACUUGAUAACAUUUGAUUUUAUGACCGUUUUUACUGUGGUGAUUAAGUGAAUCUAGCUUUCCCCCUGUUGGGUCUGCUUGUUGGAAGUUGGGAAGGACUUGUGAUCACCAGAUCACGGGUGUGGUAUUACUCUCCUAAGGACAAGUCACUUUUUUUCAGUCCUGCUGUAAUUCUGAACUAUCGUCCAACAAAUGGCAAGGUCUACCUGUAUUAACAAUCUAAGGAAGAAAGCUUGUUAUGAUCGCAGUUUAUGGAAAACACGUCUAAAUUGUGUACACUAUUAGCAAAAAACCUGUGGCUAAUUUGCCAGAUAAUCUCAUUCUAAACUCUUAUCCAGCUACAUUUUUCAAAAAUAAGUGACCAAAUAGGAACAAAAGAGACCUGCUAAUAUUAUAUCAGAUCAUUGGCCUUUUCAGUUCAUUGCUGUUUGUUAUCUCUCUUUCUCUCUCUCUCUCUCCUUCUCCCUCUCUUUCUCCCCCCUCCCUCCUCUCUCUCCCUCCCACUCUCUCUCCUCUCCCUCCUUCCCUCUCCUCUUCCUCUUUCCCACUCCCUCCCUCCCUCUCUUCCUCUCUCUCUCUUGUCUUACACACAGAGAAACAUACACAAACACACACAGUCACACUCUACACUCUUGUUGCAAGUGGAAAAUGCAGUGAGGCUACGUUAGUAACGAUGCCAGUUUUGUAAGGAUUUAGUUGCUAAAUUAACGUGUUGUGCUUUAAUUAAAUCCACCAGAGCAGAUCCCUAUUGUGUUUCACAGGAUCUACCCCGGAGCACCAUUUUUGCCCCACUGCAGUUCUUUGGAACUGGCUGGGUCCCAAAGAAGAAGGAAAUCACCUUGAAUCUGGACUGCAAAGUUUUGGGAGCCAGUGACCCUAACCUCUUUUUAAAAAUAAAAUAAAAAAUAAAGGUGCUAGAGGUUGGACUAUGGUUGAACACUUUAAAUUAAAGUAUCAGCCUAGGGUGCUGGCAGGUAAAUAUGAAGAGAGAAACUGCAUUAAAAGGAGACGAUUUUCUACUAGCAAUGCAGACGAUAUCGAGAUACGUUCCUAGCAUAAGCUUUGGAUGACUUAGAAUGGAUUCAGUUACAUGAUUUACAAUUUGUGCCAUGUGGAGAAAAGCCAGCACUCCUACAGCUUUGGAUCUAAAUUAAGAAGUGUCCAUCAACCCACAAUGCUUAUUUUAAUAGCGACCAACCCAAUGCCUGAACCCACAAGCUCAGGAUCAAAAUAAUCUCCUUGCUGCAGAUAAUACUAUGACACAGACACCUCCCUAGAUGGGGGCAGAUUAUGAAAUCCACCAGAAGAAUAAAAUCACAAUAUACAGGUAGUCCUCAACUUACAAUCACAAAUGAGCCCAACAUUUCUGUUGCUGACGGAAACAUUUGCUAAUUGAGUUUUGCCUCAUUUAACGCUCUGUCUUGCCACUGUUGUUAAGUGAAUCACUGCAGUUGUUAAAUGAAUCUGGCUUCCCCCUUGGCAGUAGGUCACAAAAGGGAACCACAUGACCUCAGGACACUCAACCGUCAUAAAUAUGAACCAGUUGCCAAGCAUCCGACUGUUGAUCUUGUGACCAAGAGGAUGCUGCAACUGUCAUAAGUGUGAAAAACGGUCAUAAGUCUCCUGCUUCAGUGCCGCUGUACGGUCACUAAAUGAACUGUUGUAAGUCGAGGACUGCCUGCAUUAAUAAAAGAGUCUUGUGGUCUUAACUUUAGACAUAAUUCAAGUUGGGUUUAUAGGAAAAGAACCUUAAGAAGGAAGUGUAGAGACACCCAAUGUUGUCCAUCUACUGUAGGAAUCUAGAGCAGUGCUUCUCAACCGUGGCAACUUUAAGAUGGGUGGACUUCAACUCCCAGAAUUCUCCAGCCAGCCAUGCAGAGCCCCUAUUGGUCUUUAUACAUGGUGUGGGGAAUUCUGGGAGUUGAAAUCCAUCCAUGUUAAAGUUGCCAAGGUUGAGAAAUGGAUUCAGAGGCUAGACACAUAGCUCACCAACCACAGUCUUGCCAUCAUGAUACGAUAGACACGAUUUCUCCAAGUCACAGUAAUUAUUUUUGAAUAUUUGUGUACAAGCUUAAUGUGUACAAGCUUUAGGUCAUUUUUUGUGCUAUCUUAGAAAGACGUAUUGGGUAUCUGUUGGUGGCAUUGCCAGGAUUUUAACCCCGUUUUUUUUUCAACGCUGAUUUGACAGUUUUUUUUUCCCGUCAGAUUUUUUUUAAUGAAUGCUUACAUUGAGACACAAAUGAAUGGAAUUGCACUUAUAAUUUAAUCUGAUUUCACUUCUUUUUGUACAUCAACAGCUGAAUUAGAUUUGGGUUGACGUUUGAGUUUUUGUCCACAAAGAGCAAAACAGAAGAAAGUUUAUUAAUUAUCUUUAUAAUAAAUAUGCACUUAGGACAAAUCUAUUCCAUUGAAAAGUGUACUUUGAUCACUAAAGAAAAUAUUACUAUUACUCCAACAGUAGUAAGUCUUAUUCAGAAGAAAGUAUGCAAUAUGAUGUUUUGGAGGGGAAUAUUUUAUUUAAUACAAAUAUAGGCUUGCUUAUUUUUUUCCCAAAGGGUGGAAGAGUCUUCCACUUUUAUAAUAACUGCAAACAUAAUUUGGAAGCAAAUUUAUUUUUAACACAAGUUUUCACAUAAGAAUGCAUUUACUUCUCAAUAAAAUGCAGGAUCUGAAACUAAGAAAUGUGCCAGGAUUUAAGUUAAUUGAAAACAACAAGAAUAGAGGCGCUUGUAACUAAAUUGUUUCAUCUGUUUUAACUCUAGUAAGUUUGUUGUUGUAGUUACACCAGUGAAAUUAAGAGGAAAACACAUUUGAGCUACAGUGAGAGCUCUGUACAAUUGUAGGCUGACAAAGGCUGUAGUAAGUGAUCACAAAGGCUGUAGUAGAUGUUUUAACUAGUGUGUAAUGUCAGAUGGGAUUUGAUGGUCCAUUUUGCCCUGAAAAUAAUCACAAUUGUAAUGUUGGUGAUGGUUUAGCAGUGUUACAACUUCACACUAUUUUUUUCUGUUGAGCAUUAAACAUUGAAAA
Non-coding RNA from Pseudonaja textilis, 3649 nucleotides. NCBI's taxonomy places the organism in Eukaryota, Metazoa, Chordata, Lepidosauria, Squamata, Elapidae. The record is from RefSeq and is a predicted model, not a curated record.